GUGGUCAUUGAAAUGAGAGAUGGUUGGCAUCUUCCCUGACAGGGAUGGGAAUAGACUUUGGGUUACCAUUUAACACACAGUUUGAAUUUCAAAUUGUCCAGAAAUGAAAAAAAGGAAAAUUUGUUCCAAUAUCUUUU
Telopea speciosissima is the source of this 137-nucleotide small nuclear RNA. Lineage: Eukaryota; Viridiplantae; Streptophyta; Magnoliopsida; Proteales; Proteaceae. The record is from RefSeq and is a predicted model, not a curated record.